CGGUUCCUGCUUCAACAGUGCUUGGACGAACUCG
This is a non-coding RNA of Callithrix jacchus (white-tufted-ear marmoset), 34 nucleotides long. Lineage: Eukaryota; Metazoa; Chordata; Mammalia; Primates; Cebidae. The record is from Rfam.